AUGUUCAAAUCUUCUAAUGAUUUGUUUGUGUAGAAAUGAGUAUAUUUAGAGAAUUGAUUUAGGGUUUGGUUUUGAGAUUUUAUUUUAACACUUGCUUAUUGCUCUUUGCUUUGAUCAUUAAUAAUUUGUAUGGUAUUGGUUCGGUACCUGUAUUAGAUACUAAAUGAACUUCAUUGUGACGUACAAUCCUCAAAAAGCACUGAAUUUUUUUCAAUUUUUUUUGUUUUUUUUUAUUUUUUUAAUUUUUUUUAUUUUUUUAUUUUUUUAAUUUUUUUGUUUUUUAUUUUUUUGAUUUUUUUAAUUUUUUUUGAUUUUUGAUUUUUGAUUUUUGAUUUUUGAUUUUUGAUUUUUUUGAUUUUUAUUAUUUAUUUUUUUCAUGCCAAAAUCCAUAUUAACAAAAAACUCAUCUUGACCUACAUCCAUCCUGACCCAUUUCUUAAUAAACUCAUCGUAACCCAAACUCAUCCUAACCCAUUACCCAAACCUGCCCAACCCACCCAUUUUGCCACCCCUAGUUUUUAGUGUUGUUUCCAGAGUCGUAAAGUCCUUCAAUAAGACUUUUGCACCCAUGGUCUAGGAUAGGGCUGGCAUAUCGUGUAUACCCGUACACGAUAAGACACGACAUGAUAAGACACGAUACACGAAAUCCCAUACACGAACACGACACGAUAACUUAUCGUGUCCUUUUUCUCAAACACGAACACGAACACGAACACGACACGAUAUACACGAAAAUUACCUGUUAAUACCUGUUAACACAACUGUUCAACUGUUAUACACGAAAAUUACCUGUUAAUACCUGUUAACACGAACAAAAACACGAACACGACAUGCUAUCUGAGAGUUACAGAGGGAGUUUAGGGUUUUAUUUUUUUUUAAUUGAAUGAGGAAUGAAAAUAGAAAGGAAUUAAGGAACCCACACGUACAUGGCUAAUGAGUUUUAUUUAAUUUAAUUUCUUAUCGUGCACUAACGGGUAUUAACAGGUAAACAUGUAUUUAACCUGUUUAUACACGAAAAUUAACAGGUAAUCUCGUGUCUACCUGUUUGGUACACGAUACCUGUUAAGGCCAUACACGAUACCUGUUAACUUCGUGUAAGUUCGUGUCGUGUAUUCGUGUAAAAUUGUCAGCCCUAGUCUAUGAGUAAUUGAGGUGGUGAUGAUGAUGUUGGUGGUGGGUGGCGGGUGAAGUAAAAAAGUAAAGUUGGGGAGGCAUAGUGUUAGGUGGAUAGGUAUAGGGAGGUCUUUAUGAGUGGUGGAGAAGAUGGGGAUGCGAAAUUAGAAUAAUACCCCUUAAACAAACUGCCCACUAACGGUUCAUUACAGGUAGGGAGACAUAGUGUGAUGACUUGCAACCAUGGGGAGGUAAAGUGCAAAAAAUGGAAGAUAGGGAGACAAAGUGAAAGCGCUACCAAACAACAGAGAAGCAAAUUGCAGUUUACUCAUAUUUAUAUUUAUGGAGGCUAAUAGUAAUGGUGGGUAAUGAUAGAGACCCGCUGAGGCUUAUCAUAACCCUGUUAAAAUACUACUAAAAUUAAUUAAGACAAGUAUAACCUAUUAUAAUUGAUAAAGACCCAUAACCGUGUUAAAAUACUACUAAAAUUAAUUAAGACAAGUAUGACCUAUUAUAAUUACUUAUUACAAAUCUAGUCACUUGUGGUCAGUCAUGGAUGAUCACGUAUGUAAUUCAUAUUCAUAAAAUAGUUAAUUAUCGAAAUGGUCAAUAAUGUGCUUUGCCAAAGUCACACAUUUGGAUGCUAGAUUUUAAAAGUUGCAUGUUGGACUUUUGUAAUUUCGAUU
This 1799-nucleotide long non-coding RNA is filed under the name Helianthus annuus (common sunflower). RNAcentral's name for it is "hypothetical non coding rna". The record is from RNAcentral. Lineage: Eukaryota; Viridiplantae; Streptophyta; Magnoliopsida; Asterales; Asteraceae.